This is a long non-coding RNA of Hemiscyllium ocellatum (epaulette shark), 2167 nucleotides long. RefSeq lists it as uncharacterized. The transcript has 6 exons. The record is from RefSeq and is a predicted model, not a curated record. NCBI's taxonomy places the organism in Eukaryota, Metazoa, Chordata, Chondrichthyes, Orectolobiformes, Hemiscylliidae.
CGAUGGGAAAGGUAGGGGGAUAGUGGGUGAACGCCCCGGCCAGGGCGCGGCUGGAAGUGGCUGAGUAGCGGUCGAAUGCUGCCCUGGCUUCUCCAUGAUGAGGGAAAGUGCACUGGGGUCUUGAAACCAGUACUUGCUGGAUCCUGGCAUCUAGUCAUUGACCAGUAUACAAUGAGCAGUGAGGCUGUGUUUUCUCCAUCCUGAAUGAGGAAGAGGCUGAAAAGCAGGAAUGCUGCAAUUAAAUCCAUUAUGGUGCAGGGCCAACACUUGAAGAUGGCUGACUGAUUUUGAUGAGGUCAUUUUGGAAGAGUUGGAUGUGAAGUUAGAGUGAGGUUGUGUUUUCUCCAUCCUGAAUGAGGAAGAGGCUGAAAAGCAGGAAUGCUGCAAUUAAAUCAUUAUGGUGCAGGUAGUGCUUCAACUGUUGUGCUACUUCGCAUGAGUGCCAUUAAGAGCUUGAAUGAAUUUGAUUUCCCUACACGCCCAGAUCAAUGAAUUCGACAUGCGGCUAGACAUCGAGCAUUUCUUCCACGCCUUUGUGACUACUUCAACCAGGACUCUCGCCCACUCUCCGAUGACCCCUUCUCCUGCCUCCAACACCCUAUCUACCUGGAUACCCCAUGCUCGCCUCUUACCCACCCUCGGUCUCUUCAUAUCCAACUGCUGCCAUGACAUUGAUUGCCUCAACUUGUCCAAUCCCCUCUCCCACUCCAAACUCUCCCUCGCAACACGCAGCUCUCCACUCCCUCUGCUCCAAACCCAACCUCCCCAUCAAACCGGCAGACAAGGGACAUGCAGUGGUAGUUUGGCACACUGAUCUUUACACUGCUGAAGCUCGACGUGAACUCGUGGAUGCCUCCUACUGCCCCCAUGACCAUGACCCCACCACCAAACCAUCUCCCAGACCAUCUAUAACCUCAGGAGAUCUCCCAUCCACUGCCUCCAACCUCAUAGUCCCACUACCCCACACCGCCCGAUUCUACCUCCUGCCCAAAUCCACAAACCCGAUUGCCCCUGCUGACCCAUUGUCUCAGCCUGUUCCUGCCCACCAAACUCACCUCUGCAUACCUUGACACUGUCCUGUCCCCCUUAGUCCAAGAACUCCCCACUUAUGUUCGGAGCACCACCUACACCCUCCACCACCACCAGCCCACCAAUACCUUGUCUUCAUGAUGGACAUCAAUCCCUGUACGCUUCCAUCUGCCAUCAUGAAGGCCUCCAGGCCCUCCGCUGCUUCCUCUCCUGUUGACCCAACCAGUACCCUUCCACUGGCCCUCCUUCAACUGACUGAUCUGGGCCUCACUCUUAACAACUUCUUCCAAUCCUCUCAUUUCCUCAAAACCAAAGGAGUAGCCAUUGGCCCCAGCUAUGCCUGCUUCUUCAGAUAUGUGGAACAGUCCAUCUUCCACAUCUACACUGGCACCAUUCCCCACCCUUUUCCUCCGCUACAUUGAUUGUAUUGGUGCUACCUUGUGCUCCUACUUGUGGAACAUUUUCAGGGAACACCUCUGGGACACCCACACCAACCAACACAAUCGCCCCAUGGCUGAACACUUUUUUUUUGUAACUCCUCUCUUUCCUUCUUCCCUUUUUCCCCCCCCCCCCCCUCACGCCAAGGACAUACAGGUCCUUGGCUGCCUCCAUUGCCAGACCCUGGCCAUGCAACACCUGGAGGAAGAGCACCUCAUCUUGCACCUAAGCACCCUCCAACCACAUGGGAUGAAUGUAGAUUUCUUCACCUUCCUCUUUCCCCAUCCCCCACCUUAUCUCAGUCCCAACCCCCAGAUUCCGUACCACCCUCUUGACCUGCAAUUAGAUUACCUAGUGUGGAAACAGGCCCUUCGGCCCAACAAGUCCACACCGACCCGCCGAAGCGCAACCCACCCAUACCCUUACAUUUACCCCUCACCUAACACUUCUUCCUGAUCUCCGCUCCCACCCCCUCUUCGGCCUAUCACCCUCACCACCUUCCACCUAUCGUAUUCCCAGCCCACUUGGAACACCAGCCUCAUUCCUGAAGAAGGGCUUAUGUCUGAAACAUGGAUUUGUCUGCUCCUCGGAUGCUGCCUGGCCUGCUGCGCUUUUCCAGCACCACACUUUUCAACUCAGGUCUCCAACAUCUGCAGUCCUCACUGUAUAUGAUCUAUGUAAAUAAAGUUAAAAUGCAACA